CUGGAAUUUUCUAGUGGUAUCUUAGUGGUCUGCUACCCAAAUAUUAUCCAGAUCUGGCCUACUUAGCUUCCAAUUCCAGGGGGAAAAGUUUGUCAAGGCAGCUCGCCCACAAUUGAAUGAUCCCUGUCUGAAGAAAGAACACGACUGAUGCAAGAUCUCCAAGCAACAGUUUGAAUACAGAAAAAAAACAUGUUCUUUUGA
This is a long non-coding RNA of Pantherophis guttatus, 201 nucleotides long. RefSeq lists it as uncharacterized. The record is from RefSeq and is a predicted model, not a curated record. Lineage: Eukaryota; Metazoa; Chordata; Lepidosauria; Squamata; Colubridae.